Molecule: non-coding RNA, 710 nt
Organism: Arachis ipaensis
Lineage: Eukaryota; Viridiplantae; Streptophyta; Magnoliopsida; Fabales; Fabaceae
Source: RefSeq, a predicted model, not a curated record
CCCAAAUCUGGACACAAGGGCCGACCGGAGAAGUCCCGGCUGUUGACUCUCGCGUAGAUGCAUGCAAGAAAAGGUUAGCAAGCUCGAACGAAGAGGCGCAUGAUUGUGACAGCACUCUGAUGAAUGGAUCUCCUUUACACAUACCGGAUGGUUCGUUCUCAUUGGACGAGAACUUCGAAUAUUGUGUGAAAGUGAUUCGUUGGCUAGAAUGCCAGGGUCAUAUUAAACAGGAGUUUCGGUUGAAGUUGCUGACAUGGUUCAGUUUGAGGUCGACGGAGCAAGAACGUAGGGUGGUUAACACGUUCAUUCAGACUCUGAUAGAUGAUCCGAGUAGUUUGGCCGGGCAACUCGUCGACUCAUUCUCCGAUAUUAUAUCAAUCAAGAGGGCAAGAAAUGGGUUGUGUAACAAAGCUGUGGGAUCAAAUUAAGGGUGUGGAUUUGCUUCCUUCAAGGCUCUUACCAUUUUACAGUGACAAGAUCACCUUAGGCAGUAACACAUUUUUCCUUGGAGGGAUGAUCCUUGGAAGUGAAGAUUUAAGGAUGUUAGGUCUUAGGAGGCAUUUUGCUAUUUGCUCAAUUUAUUGCAAUUAUUUUUAAAACUAUGAAUUUAUUUAAUCAGCAAGAUAUUAUUAGUGUUGAUACUUUCUUUUUCUUUCUCAUUUUUCAAUUACGUUCAUUUGAUGGAGCGACAAGAUGUGAUUGCUGAUUUA